This 413-nucleotide ribosomal RNA is filed under the name Methanofollis sp. enrichment culture. RNAcentral describes it as "bacterial SSU rRNA". It matches the Rfam family "Archaeal small subunit ribosomal RNA", at positions 330 to 747 of the family's 1478-position model. Lineage: Archaea; Methanobacteriati; Methanobacteriota; Methanomicrobia; Methanomicrobiales; Methanomicrobiaceae. The record is from RNAcentral.
GCGCACCAGUCGCGAAAACUUUACAAUGCAGGCAACUGUGAUAAGGGAACCCCGAGUGCCCGUAUGGACGGGCUGUUCAGGUGCUUAAAAACCACCUGGAGAAAGGGCCGGGCAAGACCGGUGCCAGCCGCCGCGGUAAUACCGGCGGCUCGAGUGGUGGCCACUAUUACUGGGCUUAAAGCGUCCGUAGCUUGGUCGUUAAGCCUCUGGGGGAAUCUUCCGGCUCAACCGGAAGGCGUCUCAGGGGAACUGGCGGCCUAGGGAUCGGGAGAGGUGAGAGGUACUCUGGGGGUAGGAGUGAAAUCCUGUAAUCCUCAGGGGACCACCUGUGGCGAAGGCGUCUCACCAGAACGACUCCGACAGUGAGGGACGAAAGCUGGGGGAGCAAACCGGAUUAGAUACCCACGUAGUCC